This 48-nucleotide transfer RNA is filed under the name Appendicula buxifolia. RNAcentral's name for it is "partial tRNA-Leu". The record is from RNAcentral. Lineage: Eukaryota; Viridiplantae; Streptophyta; Magnoliopsida; Asparagales; Orchidaceae.
AAAAUCCGUCGAACUUUGAAAUCGUGAGGGUUCAAGUCCCUCUAUCCC